RNAcentral lists this ribosomal RNA (253 nucleotides) under uncultured bacterium. RNAcentral describes it as "partial 16S ribosomal RNA". It matches the Rfam family "Bacterial small subunit ribosomal RNA", at positions 524 to 776 of the family's 1533-position model. The record is from RNAcentral.
UACGAAGGGGGCGAGCGUUGUUCGGAAUUACUGGGCGUAAAGGGCGCGCAGGCGGCCUUAGAAGUCAGAUGUGAAAGCCCCGGGCUCAACCUGGGAAUGGCAUUUGAUACUCUGAGGCUGGAGUACGGGAGAGGAGAGUGGAAUUCCCAGUGUAGAGGUGAAAUUCGUAGAUAUUGGGAAGAACACCGGUGGCGAAGGCGGGUCUCUGGGCCGUAACUGACGCUGAGGAGCGAAAGCGUGGGGAGCGAACAGG